Molecule: ribosomal RNA, 661 nt
Filed under: uncultured bacterium
Lineage: Bacteria
Description: bacterial SSU rRNA
Rfam family: Bacterial small subunit ribosomal RNA
Source: RNAcentral
GUCGCACGAGAACUCUUUAGCUUGCUAAAGAUAGUAAAGUGGCGCACGGGCUGAGUAACGCGUGGGUAAUCUACCUCCGAAUCGGGGAUAACUCGCCGAAAGGCGUGCUAAUACCGGAUAAUAUUCAUAAAACCCUGGUUUUAUGAAUCAAAGGUGGCCUCUACAUGUAAGCUACUGUUUGGAGAUGAGCCCGCGUGCCAUUAGCUUGUUGGUAGGGUAAUGGCCUACCAGGGCAACGAUGGCUAGCUGGUCUGAGAGGAUGAUCAGCCACACUGGAACUGACACACGGUCCAGACUCCUACGGGAGGCAGCAGUGAGGAAUUUUGCGCAAUGGGGGAAACCCUGACGCAGCAACGCCGCGUGAGUGAUGAAGGCCUUCGGGUCGUAAAGCUCUGUCAAGUGGGAAGAAAAUGUUCGAUGCUAAUAACAUCGUUCACUGACGGUACCACUGAAGGAAGCACCGGCUAACUCCGUGCCAGCAGCCGCGGUAAUACGGGGGGUGCAAGCGUUAUUCGGAUUUAUUGGGCGUAAAGGGCGCGUAGGCGGUUUCUUAAGUCAGAUGUGAAAGCCCGGGGCUUAACCCCGGAAGUGCAUUUGAAACUAAGGGACUUGAGUAUGGGAGAGGGAAGUGGAAUUCCUGGUGUAGAGGUGAAAUUCGUAG